ACCUCACUAGGAGCAACAUUGUUUUGAUAAUUUUUCAACUUUUACUUGAAAAAUUAUAUACAGCCAUCACCUUUUUCGCUUCAUUACUGUAUUUUGGUUAAAUUAUUACUUAGUUAUGCUGGAACAUGUGAAGGUGAACUCAGACUGACACAGGUGCACAGAUUGGUACACAGACACAAUGUGGAAUCCACACCUGACCCUUCUCAUUACAAGAUAAUUUGCUUACCAUUUGCUCAACCAAUUGGAGACUCAUCUAUGCUCAUGGCUUCCUACAUCAAAAGUCAUCUUUCUCUUUUGUCUAGACUCUUUCUAAGUCUAGGGGGGUUUGAAGGGUUGCCUCUUUGUUUGCAUGAGAUUUAACUGUGGAUAAUAACAUAGAUGUUCCUAACAACCAAUUGGCCAUAACAGGUUUCAUAGCAAGCCCUCUCUUGACAAUAUUUGCCUUUGCUAGGAAUUUUGCACCAAUAUCUGAAGUGUACAGUUGUAAACCGGUCAUAAAAUCUGUUCUCAACUUCAAGUCAUGCUUUAUAUCUGAACCAUUGAUGGGAAAUGCUAGGGCGAUGAUGCUCUUGGCAUACUGUAAUACCCAGGUGUACGUGUACCAUGGCC
RNAcentral lists this long non-coding RNA (609 nucleotides) under Phoenix dactylifera (date palm). RNAcentral's name for it is "long non-coding RNA (PDAC_LNC020702)". Lineage: Eukaryota; Viridiplantae; Streptophyta; Magnoliopsida; Arecales; Arecaceae. The record is from RNAcentral.